AAUCUGUGGUGUGGGCAUUUUUGAAUAAACAUUUUAGAACUCUCUCAUGCUUCAUGAAAACUUUCCCCCUCUAACUGUUUGAACAUCAAAAUUUCUCUUCUUAGCU
Non-coding RNA from Gossypium hirsutum (cotton), 106 nucleotides. NCBI's taxonomy places the organism in Eukaryota, Viridiplantae, Streptophyta, Magnoliopsida, Malvales, Malvaceae. The record is from Rfam.